This 209-nucleotide unclassified non-coding RNA is filed under the name uncultured Ascomycota. Its description in RNAcentral is "sequence contains ITS1". Lineage: Eukaryota; Fungi; Ascomycota. The record is from RNAcentral.
CCGAGUUAUGUGCUCAAAUAACCCUUCUGUGGACCUGAAUCAAACCGUUGCCUCGGCGGGCGGUCCCCUUGCCGGCACCCCCACGUGGGUAUAGGGCAGGGGACCAGACAGUCCGGCACGCUUCCGGCGUCCGGCGCCAGCCGCUGGCCUUAAAUAAAUUAAACUCUAGUAACUUUACCUUCUGAGUUUUAAUACCAAAAAAUAAGUCA